GACGAACGCUGGCGGCGUGCUUAACCCAUGCAAGUCGAACGGAAAGGCCCUGCUUUUGUGGGGUGCUCGAGUGGCGAACGGGUGAGUAACACGUGAGUAACCUACCCUUGACUUUGGGAUAACUUCAGGAAACUGGGGCUAAUACCGGAUAGGAGCUCCUGCUGCAUGGUGGGGGGUGGAUAGUUUCGGCGGAUGGGGAUGGACUCGCGGCUUAUCAGCUUGUUGGUGGGGUAGUGGCUUACCAAGGCUUUGACGGGUAGCCGGCCUGAGAAGGUGACCGGCCACAUUGGGACUGGGCUGCGGCCCAGACUCCUACGGGAGGCAGCAGUGGUGAAUAUUGCACAAUGGGCUGAAGCCUAAUGCAGCCACGCCGCGUGCGGGAUGACGGCCUUCGGGUUGUAGACCGCUUUCGCCUGUGACGAAGCGUGAGUGACGGUAAUGGGUAAAGAAGCACCGGCUAACUACGUG
RNAcentral lists this ribosomal RNA (468 nucleotides) under uncultured bacterium. RNAcentral describes it as "partial 16S ribosomal RNA". It matches the Rfam family "Bacterial small subunit ribosomal RNA", at positions 28 to 507 of the family's 1533-position model. The record is from RNAcentral.